This 366-nucleotide small RNA is filed under the name Pongo abelii (Sumatran orangutan). RNAcentral's name for it is "sense intronic". The record is from RNAcentral. Lineage: Eukaryota; Metazoa; Chordata; Mammalia; Primates; Hominidae.
GAUAUUACUACUUUAGCCCUGAUUGGUUCUCAGUUAUUUGUGUGUUAUCAUGUAUGUAUUUAAUUGAGCAGCUACUACGUGCAAGGAGCUGUGAGAAAUGAACAUGAGGCCAAGAUAUUGACCUUGCCUUCAAGGAAUUUACAGUCUUGUCAGAGAGAUAAUCCAUACCCACAAACACCAUAAAAAGUAGACAGAAUUAAGGAGUAUGAGAGCUACACAGAGAACAUGAUGGGAAUUCAAAGAAAGUACUACUCCUUUUUUGCAGUGAAGGGUCUAGAGUGGCUCUGAGGUUCAUUUUGUACAUGAAGAGAUGAGAAAGGACAAUCUACGUGGAAGAUACAGAAGAAACACAAAAACAAACAAAAG